Molecule: unclassified non-coding RNA, 442 nt
Filed under: Hevea brasiliensis (rubber tree)
Lineage: Eukaryota; Viridiplantae; Streptophyta; Magnoliopsida; Malpighiales; Euphorbiaceae
Source: RNAcentral
GUUGAAGUAAACAACCUUCGAUUUUCUGUCAUUUUUCCUGGUUUCUCUUUGUCUAGUGAGGAGAACUAAUAUACCAAACCCUACAACUAAUGCAAUGUUCAUCACCUGUCUUACAGGUCCAGAAGAGCCAUUUUCUCCAAAGCUCUCAGACUGAGUUCUUGGCUUUUGUGGCUUCUCUCUUCCUUUCAUUGUCGUGGAUUCACUUCUACGGAAAAAACUACGCUUUCCUGUAGUUUCCUGCAUAGAAGGUCUCUUAUUUCUUUGAUGAUCAUCUACUCCAAUAUGGCAAUCUUCUGAUAAAUGCACUAUGUUUUUGCCUGCACUUGUCAUACAUAGACGCCUUUUGUUAUCCGGAAAUAUCCAUGCACCAGAAUUUUCAGAGUCAAAAAGUUCAUCUUUGCGGCAUGCUAUUAGUUUUGGUUUCACAUUUGAAGCCUUUUCA